UGCCAAAGCCAUAUCACCCUGCACACCAAUACCGGUUUCUCACUGAAGCUAAGCAGGGCUGAGCCUGGUCGGUACCUGGAUGGGAGAUCACAUGGGAAAACAAGGUUGCUGUUGGAA
Molecule: ribosomal RNA, 117 nt
Organism: Danio rerio (zebrafish)
Lineage: Eukaryota; Metazoa; Chordata; Actinopteri; Cypriniformes; Danionidae
Source: Ensembl